This is a non-coding RNA of Callithrix jacchus (white-tufted-ear marmoset), 1539 nucleotides long. NCBI's taxonomy places the organism in Eukaryota, Metazoa, Chordata, Mammalia, Primates, Cebidae. The record is from RefSeq and is a predicted model, not a curated record.
AGUUUCCCAGUGACAGCUGUUGGCAUGGCACCUCCCCGUGAAGAGCGUCCCCUGGCACCAUCUCAGGGCAGCUCUGUGCUUCAGGGAACUCCACCAUCCAGUGAGCCAGGAGGUCUGGACCACAGCCUUGGGGUUAUGUCACUUCUUUACACUUAUUCCUGGCCAGGCUGGUCUCAAACUCCUGACCUCAGGUGAUCCACCCACCUCGGCGCCCGAAAGUGUUGGCAUUACAGGCAUGACCCACCACACCCGGCUUCUCCUAUGCACUCUUGAGAGUCUUCUUUACUCCUCAUGAGCCACUUUCCCAUUACAUGAUUCCCCCACUAUAGUUAAUAAUUCUUUAUAUUAAAACUUUCCCUAUUCAAAUUACUGUGUAGUUUCUGUCUCCUGAUUAGACCCUGACUAAACACAUCUAUGCAGAAGGUAAAAACUCUGGAAGAAUCUGCAAAGGAAGAUAAAGAAAAACUGAUGCAGAUGUGAUAGAAUAAAGUGGAGGUGGGAAAAAGUAAGAACAAGACUCUAAAUCCGAAGAAAAGAAGCUGAAAAGACUGAGAUUGGAGCUUAUGAAAGAUAUUAAACCAACUGAGCAGAAACCAUCAGCAGAAACAGAUGAAGUGAAAAGCCAGACACAAAAACGCUGGUCUCCAACUCCUGGCCUCAAGAAAUCCUCCUACCUCAAGCCUCCCAACAUGCUGGGAUUACUGACAUAAGCAAUCACUACACACAGACUAAAAAGUGGCUUUUUAAUUGAAAAACAUUUCACAUUCUUAGUGUAAAAUCAGUCAUGUGUAUAAAAAUUUUAAAGCCCCCAAAAUGGGGAAAGGAAGGAUGCUAGAAAGACCAAACAGAGGCACGCCCUGUGGUGAGAGCAGCCUGGAUAUGCGCUGACGGAGAAGUGGCUGACAGUCCACACAGGCACCGGUAAAGGACUGGGACUGCAGACACACUGGAAACCAGCUGGAAAGUGGAUUACGGUAACUCCUUCUCAAGCAGGGAAGACUCGCAUUAGACUAAAUGGCAAUCGUUCAGGAGGAGAAGAAAAGGAACCUAGUGACUUUUAUUUCUCUCAUCUUAAAAAGUUAAGUUGAUACCAUAAUAUUUGUGUGUAUUUACAAGGAACAUGAGAUAUUUAGAUGCAUGCAUACAAUGUGUAAUGGUAAAUCAGGGCAUUUAGAAUACCCGCUGAUUGAACAUUUAUCACUUCUUUGUGUUGGGAACACUUAAAUCUCUCCCAGCUAUUUGGAAGCACACAGUAUGUUAACCAGAGCCACGCCACUGUGCUGCUGAACACUGGAACUUACUCCUUCUAACUGGAUGGCUGUUCCCAUGAACGACCUCUCUUUACGCCCCAGCCUCUGCAACUGUCACUCUCUUCUCCAACUCCAUGAGAUCAACUUUUUUAGCUCCCACAUAUGAGUGAGAACAUGGGAACUCAUGUAAUAUUUGUCUUUAUUUCUCUAAAUGUGGAUCUAAUCUUACAUAAUGAUUUCAAAUUCUAUCCUGACAAUAUUAACAGUUUUAAUAAAAAGUUCUCAGUUU